RNAcentral lists this ribosomal RNA (487 nucleotides) under uncultured Pseudonocardia sp. Its description in RNAcentral is "bacterial SSU rRNA". It matches the Rfam family "Bacterial small subunit ribosomal RNA", at positions 28 to 526 of the family's 1533-position model. Lineage: Bacteria; Bacillati; Actinomycetota; Actinomycetes; Pseudonocardiales; Pseudonocardiaceae. The record is from RNAcentral.
GACGAACGCUGGCGGCGUGCUUAACACAUGCAAGUCGAGCGGUAAGGCCCAACUUGUUGGGUACACGAGCGGCGAACGGGUGAGUAACACGUGGGUGACCUGCCUUCAGCUCUGGGAUAAGCCUGGGAAACUGGGUCUAAUACCGGAUAGGACUGCGCUUCGCAUGGGGUGUGGUGGAAAGAUUUUUUGGCUGGAGAUGGGCCCGCGGCCUAUCAGCUUGUUGGUGGGGUGAUGGCCUACCAAGGCGACGACGGGUAGCCGGCCUGAGAGGGGGACCGGCCACACUGGGACUGAGAUACGGCCCAGACUCCUACGGGAGGCAGCAGUGGGGAAUAUUGCGCAAUGGGCGGAAGCCUGACGCAGCGACGCCGCGUGGGGGAUGACGGCCUUCGGGUUGUAAACCUCUUUCGCCAGGGACGAAGGCUUUGGUUGACGGUACCUGGAGAAGAAGCACCGGCCAACUACGUGCCAGCCACCGCCGUAACAC